CCUAAAAUAAAUAAAAUUGAAAAUCGGCUUCCUAAUAAACCUAGAAAAUUUGUUAACAAAUGCAUACAUACUUUAAAAAUUGAAAUCGAAUACUAGGAAGCAUGUCUAAUUCCCCACCAGUUUAUUGGUUUAGAACGUAUGAAAACUAGGUGAGCUUCAGCCCCCUUAAAAACAAUUUGAAUGUUAAACUUACCGCUGUAACCAAGAUUAUUUUCCGAUUAGUAUUUAUUACAAAAUCUAUCUAAGUAUCCAUAAAACAUAGAUUUUAUACUAAUAGACGAGUAUUUUAUACACGUAGAACGGUCAUGGAUAGAGGGCGUUCUUCACGCGUGACUUGUGACUUUUAAGCCCGGUCCACAAAAAGGCAGCAUUGAGCGACAUGUAGGUUAUCUUUAAUUUCCUAUUGUUCUGUAACACGUGAAAAAAAAUCGCGACAUUGAAAACAGCGUACACAUUUAGGCAACCAAACCACACCAACAUUGAUAAACAACUGGACUAAAUUGUGUCCACACUGAUAAACUUGUAGCCACGUGUUGCCUAUUUACCAAUUUAUUAUAUUGUAUUAUACUGU
Cinara cedri is the source of this 571-nucleotide non-coding RNA. NCBI's taxonomy places the organism in Eukaryota, Metazoa, Arthropoda, Insecta, Hemiptera, Aphididae. The record is from the annotation of a GenBank genome assembly.